This 440-nucleotide ribosomal RNA is filed under the name uncultured bacterium. RNAcentral's name for it is "partial 16S ribosomal RNA". It matches the Rfam family "Bacterial small subunit ribosomal RNA", at positions 338 to 795 of the family's 1533-position model. The record is from RNAcentral.
CCUACGGGAGGCAGCAGUGGGGACUAUUGCACAAUGGGGGAAACCCUGAUGCAGCGACGCCGCGUGAGUGAAGAAGUAUCUCGGUACGUAAAGCUCUAUCAGCAGGAAAGAAAAUGACGGUACCUGACUAAGAAGCCCCGGCUAACUACGUGCCAGCAGCCGCGGUAAUACGUAGGGGGCAAGCGUUAUCCGGAUUUACUGGGUGUAAAGGGAGCGUAGACGGCGCUGCAAGUCCGGAGUGAAAGACCAUGGCUUAACCAUGGUACUGCUCUGGAAACUGGAGAGCUUUAGUGCGGGAGGGGCAGGCGGAAUUCCUAGUGUAGCGGUGAAAUGCGUAGAUAUUAGGAGGAACACCGGCGGCGAAGGCGGCCUGCUGGACCGUAACUGACGUUGAGGCUCGAAAGCGUGGGGAGCAAACAGGAUUAGAUACCCCUGUAGUC